Molecule: long non-coding RNA, 3202 nt
Organism: Phasianus colchicus (ring-necked pheasant)
Lineage: Eukaryota; Metazoa; Chordata; Aves; Galliformes; Phasianidae
Source: Ensembl
AUGUCCGUCUGUGUCCCUGUGUCCCCAUGUCUAUGCGUCUGUCCAUGUGUCCCCGUGUCCGUAUGUCUGUCUGUCUCUGUCCCUGUGCCCCCACGUCCGUGUGUCUGCCUGUCUGUGUCCCCGUGUCCGUGUGUCCGUCUGUCUGUGUCCCAACGGCUGUGUGUCUGUCCAUCUGUGUCCUUGUGUCCGUCUGUCUGUGUCUCCGUGUCCUCACGUCCGUGUGUCCGUCUGUCUGUGUCCCUGUAUCUGUGUGUCCGUCUGUCUGUCCCCAUGUCCCCACGUCCAUGCGUCUGUCCGUCUGUGUCCCCGUGUCCAUAUGUCCGUCUGUCUGUAUCCCCAUGUCCACACGUCCGUGUGUCCGUCUAUGUCCCUGUGUCCGUGUGUCCAUCUGUCUGUGUCCCUGUGUCCUCAUGUCCAUGCGUCUGUCCGUCUGUCUCUGUCCCCGUGCCCCCAUGUCUGUGCGUCUGUCCAUCUGCAUCCCCGUGUCCAUGUGUCCGUCUGUCUGUGUCCCCAUGUCCGUGCGUCUGUCCAUCUGUGUCCGCGUGUCCGUAUGUCCGUCUGUCCAUCUGUCUGUGUCCCCGUGUCCCCACGUCCGCGUGUCCGUCUGUCCCCAUCUCUGUCUGUGUCCCCACAUGUCCCCCUGUUUAUGUCCCCGUGUCCGUCUGUCCCCACGGCCGUGUCCCUCCGUCCCCGUGUGUCCCUCUGUCUGUGUGUCCGUCCGUCUGUCUGCCUGUGUCCCCACGUCCGCGUGUCCGUCUGCCCCCAUGUGUCCUUCUGUCCGUCUGUCCCUUCGUGCCCCCCCCCCUGUCCCCGUGUGUCCCUCUGUCCCCACGUCCGUGUGUCCUCCUGUCCCUGCGUCCGUCUGUCCCCACGUGGCCCUCUGUCAAAAUGUCUCUGUCCCCCCGUCCGUGCAUCCAUCUGUCCCUGUGUCUCCACGUCUGUCUGACCCGUCUGUCCGUCCAUCCCUGUGUCCGUGUGUCCCCGUGGCUGUGUGUCCAUCUGGCCCCACGUGUCCGUGUGUCUCCAUGUCCCUCUGUCCCCUUGUCCCCGUCUGUCCCUCUGUCUGUGCGUCUGUCUGUCUGCCUGUCUGUCCCUGUGUCCCCACGUCCCCGUGUCUGUCUGUCCCCGUAUCUGUGUCCCUGUAGUCCCUCUGUCCCCGUGUCCGUGUGUCUGUCUGUCCCCACGUGGCCCUUUGUCCCAAUGUCUCCGUUGCCGCGUCCGUCUGUCCCCGUGUCCGUGGGUCACUGUCACCACUCCACGGUGUCCGUCUGUCUGUCCCCAUGUCCGUCUGUCCUCACGUCUGUGUCCCCCCUGUCCCCAUGUGUCCACCCGUCCCUGUCCAUCUGUCCCCCCUGUCCGUGUGUCCGUCUGCCCCCAUGUGCCCCUCUGUGUCCCCGCGUCUGUCUGUCCCCAUUAUCUGUGUGUCCGUCUGUCCCCCUGACCCCGCGUCCAUCUGUCCCCCUGUCCGUGUGUCUGUCUGUCCCCAUGUCCCUCUGUCCCCCUGUCUGUCUGUCCUCGUGGCUGUGUGGCUGUGUGUUCCCAUGUGUCUGUCUGUCCGUCUGUCCCCACGUCUGCAUCCCAACGUCUUCAUGUGUCCCCGUGUCCGUCUGUCCCCGUGUCCCCAUGUCCGUCUGUGUCCCAAUGUCCCCAUACGUCCCUGUGUCCCCCCACGUCCGUGUGUCCGUCUGUCCCCGUGUCCGUCUGUCCCCCUGUCCGUGUGUCCCCGUGUCUGUCUGUCCCCGUGUCCCUCUGUCUGUGUGUCCCCGUGUCCGUCUGUCCCGAUGUCUGUCUGUCCCCGUGGCUGUGUGGCUGUGUGUCCGUAUGGCUGUGUGUCCUCACCUGUCUGUCUGUCCGUCUGUCCCCACGUCUGCAUCCCAACGCCUUUAUGUGUCCCCGUGUCUGUCUGUCCCCAUGUCCGUCUGUCCACAUGUCCGUCCGUGUCCCAGUGUCCCCGUAUGUCCCUGUGUCCCCCCACGUCCGUGUGUCCGUCUGUCCCUGUGUCCCCAUUGUCUGUGUCCUCCUCUCCCCGUCUGUCCCCGUGUCCGUGUGUCACUGUCACUGUGCUGCGCUGCCUGUCUGUCUGUCCCCAUGUCCGUCUGUCCCCAUGUCCCUGUGUCCCCAUGUGUCCCCGCCUCUGUGCGCUAUCAUGGCGUAGAUGGCACUGUUGUGUCAAAAAAGGGCGCUACUGUGGCACUAUCAUGAUAUAAAGGGCUCUAUCAUGGCACUAUCGUGACAUAAAGAGCACUAUUGUUGCGCUGCUGUGGCGCUAUCAAGACAUAAGGGGCACUAUUGUGGCACUAUCGUGACAUAAAGGGCACUAGUGGCGCUAUCGUGGCACUAUUGUGGCACUAUCAUGACAUAGAGGGCACUAUCAUUGCACUAUUAUGGCACUGUUGUGGCACUAUCAUGAUACAAAGGGCACUAUUGGCACUAUUGUAGCAGUAUUGUGACAUAAAGGGCACUAGUGGCACUAUUGUGGCACUAUCAUGGUACUAUCAUGACAUAAAGGGCACUAUUGUGGCACUAUCAUGACAGAGGGCACUAUCAUUGCACUACUGUGGUACUAUUGUGGCGUUAUUGUGGCACAGGUGGCACUGUUAUGGCAUAAAGGGCACUAUCAUGACAGUAUCAUGGCAGUAUCACGACAUAAAAGGCACUAUUGUGGCACAAAAGGCGCUGUCAUGGCACUAUUGUGGCACUAUCAUGACAUAAAGGGCACUAUUGUUGCACUAUUGUGGCACAAAUGGCACUGUUGUGGCACUAUUGUGGCACUACUGUGGCACGGAUGGCACUGUUAUGGCACAAAGUGCACUAUUGUGGCACUAUCAUGACAUAAAAGGCACUAUUGGGGCACUAUCAUGGCAUAGAUGGCACUAUUGUGUCACAAAGGGCACUAUUGUGGCACUAUCAUGGCACUAUCGUGGCACUAUCGUGACACAGGUGGCACCAUUGUGGUGCAGAUGGCACUAUCAUGGCACAAAGGGCAAUACUGUGGCACUAUCAUGACAUAAAGGGCUCUAUCGUGCUACUGUUGUAGCACAAAUGGCACUGCUGUUGCGGCAUGAAGGGCACUAUCGUGGCACUAUCACGACAUAAGGGGCACUCUUGCGACACAGACGGCACUGCCGUGACACAAAAAACUUUAUUGUGGCACUGCCGUGGCACGGUGCCCACUACAAAAGGCGCUAUCGCGACAUCGCCG